GUAUUUAUUUAUUUAGGGCGCUUUAUAUUUUAUUGGGGCUGGAUUAACUACAAAGUGAAUGCUACAUGUGAAGGAUAGGAGGGAAUACGAGCAUUGAUCUACUAAUUUAACGGUCGAGAUUAAGUGACCUAAAAUUUCUUUUUUUAUAAUAUUAAGUUAGGUUUACAUGAUACAUCACAACGGAGCACUUAUUUAACAGGGUUUAUAUGAUACAUUACAAUGGACCACUUAUUUAACACGGUUUACAUGAUAAUUUACAACAAAGUUGUGGUACUAGUGGUAAGAAAAGGGUUAAUGUAGUUGUGUUACAUAAUAUAGCCUUGUUCGAUCCAUUCCCGAGCUCAUUACUCAUUUUUAUCUCCUUUUAGUGAUUAACCUGAACGUAUAAAUCACAACACAUUAAACAAUGCUAAAUGAAACAUGAGUGUCAGUGGGGAAACUUGACCUGAAUGACAAUUCACCUAAAGUAUUGAAGCAACUUAGUGAGUUAUCACACAUAUAUUUGAGACAUGAUGAUUCAGACACCCCCCAAACAUUAAAUGUAAGAUCAGGGGGAUAAUUAUGUGCAAUAACGAAAAUGGUUAGAUCACCAAAUCACAUGCAUAAAAACCAAACACAACAAUUGCAUUUCAAAUCUUCUUAAUCAAUGAGUGCGAGCAAGUUCUCGCCAUCCGAGAAUCAUAUGUUAACAAUUCAGUUGUGGGAUCCAAACAACCUUAUAAACGUAAGUUCUCAUCGCUCGGAAAUCAUACACUUUCAGACUAGCCUUAGCUUGCAAGGUUGACACAACUUAACAUAUAUUUCUAACAUGUAAGGUCUAGAACUAGUAAGGUAGUACACAUUAUAAUAUACUAAGCACAUUACUUAUUGUUUAAUCCAAAAAAACCACUAAAAUGUGUAUUUAUUUGCAUACAAAUUGAAUAACUAGGGCCAUAAACACAUGUAUUCUUAAAAUUGACAAUAAGAUCACCCCCCCCCCCCCCCAAACAAACAUGGAUUAAGUACCUAAAAAUAAUCUAACUACAUAAAAGAUAAUAUAAUGAUGAACUAACCUUGUUGUAGUUUAGAUCCUUCAUAAGAAAACAAUCUCACCGCAUUUUUGUAGCUUACAUCCGCUACUUGUUCUUUAGACGCAUCAAGCAAAGACGCAACAUAAGAAAGCACAAGAUGGAUAUUCGCCGGAUGAUUAAGCAUCUUUUUCGAGUCUCCGUUACUUUCAUGUUCGUCCACCAAAAUAAUAGAUUCCGAACCGUUGGGUUUGGGUAACGCAUCUGGUGCAUCGGUCUCUAGUAAAAUCCUAUCAGAAGGUACGGAUUUCACCACCUUCUUUGCCUCGGUUUCUUUCUUAUCCAUAAGAAACCCCGAGAACGAAAAAUACACCCCGAGUUUAGCAAAUUCCGGAACCAUCUCCGCAGAACCUAAGUAGGAAUGCAAGAUCACACCUUCCGGAAACGGCCCGAGAGAUUUCAUUAUAUCGAGAAGAUCACCAAACGCGCGCACACAGUGCACUGAAGCGGGCCGUUUCAGUUCUUUAGCGAGUUGAAGUUGCAAGCGGAAAAUUUCAACCUGAUCUGUGUAAUCUGUUUUUGCGUGGGACCCUUUGUCCAAACCGAUCUCUCCUACUGCAGCCGAAGGGUUUGCAGUUAACAGAUCGCGUAAAGAUGUCAGCCAGUUGGGGGUGCGGUCCGUGAUGAACCACGGGUGGAGCCCGAAUGAUGGAAUUAUACAAGGAUAGGUGUCACUCAUCUCCUUGACCAAGUGCCAGUCAUUCUCGGAGACACCAUUGACUGCAAAAUGAUGUAUGCCGUGUUCUAGAGCUGUCUUGAUGAGGUUCGGAGCCUUGUUGAAGACUCUCGGGUCUUGUAGGUGACAGUGCGCGUCGAAGAGUUUUAUCAUGGCUAUAGAAUCUAGUGUUGCUUCGCUUUCUUGAUAGAUGAUGGAUCUUUCCCUGUCCCACGGUUGAAGAAGCUGAUGAACUGCUUGGCUGUUUGAUACGCAUGGGCGUAUUAAAAAGAACCAGAGGUAAGAGAACGUACAACUCCCG
This 2044-nucleotide long non-coding RNA is filed under the name Helianthus annuus (common sunflower). RNAcentral's name for it is "sRNA HanXRQr2_Chr12g0535151". Lineage: Eukaryota; Viridiplantae; Streptophyta; Magnoliopsida; Asterales; Asteraceae. The record is from RNAcentral.